Molecule: RNA transcript, 1473 nt
Organism: Diceros bicornis minor
Lineage: Eukaryota; Metazoa; Chordata; Mammalia; Perissodactyla; Rhinocerotidae
Gene name: ral guanine nucleotide dissociation stimulator-like
Exons: 6
Source: RefSeq, a predicted model, not a curated record
CCGGUGGGUAGGCCUCUCUCCAUAGGAGGACCAGGGUGGAUGGGGGAUCUCCUGUAUGUCUGCCAUUGGCCCCUCAGUCAGCUGGGAACUCCUGGGAGGUAGCAAAUGCUGGGGACCGGGCCUGGGCCUCGGCAGGGGGUCUCUAAACCUCCCGGGGUCCUUAGUGCACCAGUUCUGCUUCAGGACUCGGUUUCCCUAAGUGUCAGGUACUAAGUUGAGCCAAAUUGGGGAUUUUCAGGUGUUUAUAGCAACAAAACUCUAUGCCCAUUUGAAACUCAAAGCAGUCAAAACAGAGCUGCUCAGUAGAUCUGGGGAGUGGAGACCCCAGUGACCAACAGGAGAGCCCCCUCCCAGUACCAUGAGACCUUAGCGCUCAGAGGAGCCCAGUGAGAACACUUCUCCAGGCCAUUUGAAUCUCGGGUUUGCAAAGAAAAGGGAUUUGCAUUUAGACCCCUCACAUUAUUCCUAAAUUUAUCCCUCGUUCUUUCCCCUCCCCUGAGAGAGAGCCCUGAAAAUCUUCAGGAACUCAAUAGUCAAGACAAGUCCUUGAGCAGAGAACUGAUGAUCAAGGUUAACAAGCAGAGGGAUCUGUUCUGCCCAUGAGCAGGUGGGGUGCCGUUUGUGGGCAGGAGGCCCUGGUCAUGAGACACAAUGGUGUUGGCUGGGCUGUUCCAGGAGGAGUUGCCGAGCUGGCGCCAUCAACAGGUCUCUGGCUUCCAUGAGGGGCCCUUCACGUUUGCCCCCCCAGAGAGCAACCCCCAGAGAGUGCAGGAGAAGCAGCAGCAGCAGCAGGGUGUCUUCCCCUAUCUUGGCAAUCUGCUCAGUGACCUGCUGAUGCUGCACCUGGCGAUGGGUGACUAUCUCGAGGGGAAUGAGAUCAACCUUGAGAAGAGGACUGAGGAGCAGCUGUGGCACUCCCUGCAGGGGAGGAGAAGGAGGUGGAAAUCAGAGACCUUCUGGGCAGAACAGUGCCUGGCUUCACCUCCUGUAUCUUACAUUGUGUGGAAGAGUUUGAUAACAGAGCAGUGGGAGACCCAUCCAAUUGGCGGGUGGGUUGAGGGGAGGAUGGCAUCAAGGAUAUCUUCCUGGAGGAGGAGCUGAUUAUUCCCAUUCUGAGAACUGGUAGAUCCUGGAUGGAACUGGAGGGAAGGAUGGUUUCCAGGACUGGUCCCCUGCCCCACUCCUCACCUCCAACAAGGCCCCUGCAGCAUCCCCCACCCAGGCCCUGUGUGCAUCCUCUCCUUCCCUCUGGUCCCAGGAAUACCGAGUCAUGAGGAAGAUCCUGCUGCUCCAGGAGGCUGCCAAGAAUUACAACCUAGAACCCGAGGGAGCGAUUUGCGGCCUGGUUCCAAGACAUGGAGUUGCUCAACGAGAAUGAGAGGUCAAAGACCAAGGGAAGAGGUCGUCAAGAGGUCAAGUCUAAUCUAUCUACGGAUGUGGCAGCCUUAACUAUGGAUGUUCAAGCCAGACAUU